This 2276-nucleotide small RNA is filed under the name Pongo abelii (Sumatran orangutan). RNAcentral's name for it is "retained intron". The record is from RNAcentral. Lineage: Eukaryota; Metazoa; Chordata; Mammalia; Primates; Hominidae.
AUGUUUUAGAAAACGAUUAUGAGAGCUUACGUGUGUUAAAUGUUGAAAGAAAUGGAAAUAUUAUUUAUACCUAUAAGGAUGAUAAGGGAAAUGUCGUCUUUGGAUUAUAUGAUUGUCAAACCAGACAAAAUGAGCUUCUGUAUACCUUUGAGAAAGACUUGCAAGUUUUCAGUUGCUCUGUCAACAGUGAAAGAACUUUGCUUGCUGCAAGUUUAGUUCAGUCUACUAAAGAAGGAAAAAGGAACGAACUUCAACCAGGAUCAAAGUGCUUGACUUUGUUGGUUGAAAUCCACCCUGUUAACAAUGUGAAGGUUCUAAAGGCUGUGGAUAGCUAUAUUUGGGUUCAGUUUCUCUACCCACAUGUUGAAAGUCAUCCUCUUCCAGAGAACCGUCUGUUACUGAUUUCAGAAGAGAAAUAUAUUGAACAAUUUCGUAUCCAUGUCGCCCAAGAAGAUGGAAAUAGAGUGGUGAUUAAAAAUUCUGGCCAUCUCCCAAGAGACAGAAUAGCUGAGGAUUUCGUUUGGGCUCAGUGGGAUAUGUCAGAACAGAGAUUAUACUACUUUGACCUGAAGAAAUCAAGGAGUAUCUUAAAAUGUAUCCAGUUUUAUGCUGAUGAGAGGUAUAACUUAAUGUUUGAAGUACCCUUGGACAUAUCAUUAAGCAACUCAGGAUUUAAACUUGUCAACUUUGGAUGUGAUUAUCAUCAAGACCGAGAUAAAUUUUCCAAACACCUGACUCUGUGUGUUUUUACCAACCAUACAGGAAGUUUGUGUGUAUGUUACAGCCCGAAGUGUGCCUCUUGGGAACAAAUCACAUAUUCUGUGUUUUACAUUCAUAAAGGACACAGCAAGACCUUCACCACUUCUCUUGAGAAUGUUGGCUCACACGUGACAAAGGGCAUUACUUUUCUCAACCUUGACUAUUAUGUGGCUGUUUACUUACCUGGUCAUUUCUUCCACCUACUUAAUGUUCAACAUCCAGACCUGAUCUGCCACAAUCUCUUUCUGACAGGAAAUAAUGAAAUGAUUGAUAUGCUACCUCAUUGCCCUUUACAGUCAUUGUCAGGGUCCCUGGUAUUGGAUUGUUGUUCUGGAAAGCUCUAUAGAGCACUGCUCAGCCAGUCGUCUUUAUUACAGCUUUUGCAGAACACUCGCUUAGACUGUGAGAAGAUGGCCGCGUUGCACUGUGCGCUCUACUGCGGUCAAGGCACGCAGUUCCUGGAAGGCCAGAUUAUUCAAUGGAUUUCUGAGAAUGUCUCUGCCUGCCAUUCAUUUGACCUCAUUCAGGAAUUUAUAAUUGCUUCUUCAUACUGGAGUGUAUAUUCAGAGACAAGUAACAUGGACAAACUAUUGCCAUAUUCCUCAGUGCUCAUUUGGAAUACAGAAAUUCCUGGAAUAACUCUUGUGACAGAAGACAUUGCAUUGCCUCUUAUGAAGGUGCUCAGCUUUAAGGGCUACUGGGAAAAACUGAACUCCAACCUAGAAUAUGUUAAGUACGCCAAGCCACACUUCCACUAUAACAACAGUGUGGUCAGGAGAGAGUGGCACAACCUGAUCUCUGAAGAGGUAUGAGUGGGUCAGUGAGAACAAAGCCAGCAGCCAGCCCUAGUGGACUGGAUCCAGGUGAUGCCUUUAAAUCAUAAGGCUGGCUUCCAUGUGCAGCAUUCUUCCCAAUUGCCAGGGACUUGAACAUUGUCGUUACUGACCUCAAUAGUCAGAGAUGCUUCUAUGAUCUCUGUUCUCCUGGGGAGGAAACUGAAAACAGAAAGUUUAAGGGGACACACAGCACAUUCAUAGUAGAAGUAUGAUUAAUAUCCAUGUCUCACAUGUGUUCUCAGGUUACUUAUGUAGUUAAAAAUUGAUAUUAAAAAAUCUAGGUGUUCCCAAAUUAGUGGUCAUUAGGGGUUGGGGUAGUUGGAGGGAGAAUAGUGGAUGUGACUCACUCUCCAGGGGUGACCCAGGGAAAUCUUUGGGGGUGAUCAAAGACUUCUGUAUGUUGAUUGUGGUGGUACAUUGUGGGACAUGAAUCUAAACAUGAUAAAGUGACAUAGAAUGACACACACACAUUGUGCCAAUGUCAAUUUUUGAUUUUGAUAUUGUGCUCUAGUUAGGUAAGAUAUAAGCACUCAGGAGACUGGGUGGAGGGUACAUUGGAUCUCUCUUUAGUAUCGCUGCAUGUAGAUUACUGUUGUUGUAUAUAGUAUAUAGUUGACUCGCAGUUUCCUGUGAAUCUGUAAUUGUUUCAGAAUAAAAUGUUUCUUAAAACUUUAAAAAAAA